AAAUAAAAUAAAAACUUACAGUUUUAAAACACAAACAUACAAUUUAAAACUAGAUCCUGCUGGAGUUGAAAGUCAAGUAAAGUAGAUGGGUUUUAAGAUGAGCUUUAAAAGUGCACAGUGAAGGGGCCUCUCUGACCUGCAAAGGCAAGUCGUUCCAUAAUUUUGGGCCCAUGACAGAGAAAGCCCUGUCCCCUCUGAGCUUCCUUCUUGAUCUCGGUACCUCCAAAAGCAGCUGAUCUGCGGACCUGAGAGACCGAUAAGGUAUGUAUGGGUGAAGAAGCUCAGAGAGGUAAGCCGGGGCAAGAUUAUGUAGUGAUUUAAAAACAAACAUAAGAAUUUUAAAAUGAAUCCUAAAA
Molecule: long non-coding RNA, 356 nt
Organism: Poecilia latipinna (sailfin molly)
Lineage: Eukaryota; Metazoa; Chordata; Actinopteri; Cyprinodontiformes; Poeciliidae
Exons: 2
Source: RefSeq, a predicted model, not a curated record